Molecule: long non-coding RNA, 1181 nt
Organism: Gasterosteus aculeatus aculeatus (three-spined stickleback)
Lineage: Eukaryota; Metazoa; Chordata; Actinopteri; Perciformes; Gasterosteidae
Source: Ensembl
UUUUUUUAAAUUCCUCACUUAAUAGAAUUAAGGAGAAUAAUCGCGUCACGCAGAUCUCGCUGCGGCGUCUUCUGCGCUUUUCUCAUAGCCGCUGAUCUACACCCCCCUCUGUCUCUGAGGUGGGGAGGCGCGCGUCAUCUCCCAACUGAUGCCCAUUGAUUUAUGAUUUGGUCUUUUUGGUGGGGGGCAUUUAUCGGCCUUGGACUUUCACCAGCUGUCCCCUCAGCCUGAGCGGGGGGGUACCUGUAACUUUCUUCUGCCGCCGUCUUUGCGGGUUUUCCGUCUCAUACGCGCAACACUGUAGCCGGAGAGGCGCGCGCUCGAGGAGCCCCGCAUCGUGCAGAUACGCGCAGCGCUCCAACUCGAGACCACCCACGACCCCUGCCUCGGAGGAGCCGCAGGAGCUCACCGCGUGGACUCAAGACACCCGCAGGGGGAGCGGUUUGAUUUCCCCACCGCCGGCCACCGGACCAACUGGGAUUGUAACACCCCGCCCCGCUGGGAUUUCUGCCAUGUCAGGUGCACGGGACUGCAGAUGGGCCGUCCUCGUCUCUGUGGCGGCGCUUUCGUGUGAGUGGACCACCCUGAUCCCAUCAGCGCCCAAACGAAGUCUCCCGCAUCCUUGAUCGUCGGAAGAUAUCAACGGGUCAAAGGUCAGGGAGCGCUACAAGGCUUCUGUGGGACCAACUUGCUGGAUUUAAAAGAAGACCUGCAUAAUUUCCCUGGCUAAUAACGAUAAUAUAUUCAGCGAACGAGUGAUUCCCAGUUACAUCCGCUGAAUUGUCUGGACAGCUGACAGCCGUGUGUGAUUGACGGAUGCGCCGCGUGAGCAGCUGACGACGGGCGUGGUCGCGUGUCUCUCCUCCCUCCUCAGGGUCCCACGCAGAAAGAAGCCGCCGCUGCCGGCUUUCACCGCGUCGGCGCGAGGUCGGCCCCGCGUGUAAUUACUCACACUUACCGGGUACCAAGCCAAAUUAACCUUUUGGCAGGAAGCACCUGUGGACGUCUUUUUAAAGCCCUGAUUCCUGUGCCGCCUCCAAAACGCGUGCCAGCGUUAUUAUCUCUGGUUCAGUUGCGUCCAUUUCAAACCCGAUCUGCCCUUUCAGUCUAAUUCAUUCCGGGUCAAAGCAAUUAUUCUUUGAUAAUGAUUUGUCUGUCCUUUUUCUUUUUUGAUAAACCCC